This 462-nucleotide ribosomal RNA is filed under the name uncultured bacterium. Its description in RNAcentral is "partial 16S ribosomal RNA". It matches the Rfam family "Bacterial small subunit ribosomal RNA", at positions 28 to 507 of the family's 1533-position model. The record is from RNAcentral.
GACGAACGCUGGCGGCGUGCUUAACACAUGCAAGUCGAGCGGUAAGGCCUUUCGGGGUACACGAGCGGCGAACGGGUGAGUAACACGUGGGUGAUCUGCCCUGCACUUCGGGAUAAGCCUGGGAAACUGGGUCUAAUACCGGAUAUGACCCCCUAUCGCAUGGUGGGUGGUGGAAAGAUUUAUCGGUGCAGGAUGGGCCCGCGGCCUAUCAGCUUGUUGGGGGGGUAAUGGCCUACCAAGGCGACGCCGGGUAGCCGACCUGAGAGGGUGACCGGCCACACUGGGAGUGAGACACGGCCCAGACUCCUACGGGAGGCAGCAGUGGGGAAUAUUGCACAAUGGGCGAAAGCCUGAUGCAGCGAGGCCGCGUGAGGGAUGACGGCCUUCGGGUUGUCAACCUCUUUCAGCGGGGACGAAGCGCAAGUGACGGUACCUGAAGAAGAAGCACCGGCUAACUACGUG